GAUGAACGCUGGCGGCAUGCCUUGCACAUGCAAGUCGAACGCGAAAGUAGGGGCAACCCUGCGAGUAGAGUGGCGAACGGGUGAGUAAUGCAUCGGAACAUUUCCAGUAGCGGGGGAUAACCUCGAGAAAUCGAGGCUAAUACCGCAUACGUCCUACGGGAGAAAGCGGGGGACCGCAAGGCCUCGCACUAUUGGAGUGGCCGAUGCCGGAUUAGCUAGUUGGCGGGGUAAAAGCCCACCAAGGCGACGAUCCGUAGCUGGUCUGAGAGGAUGAUCAGCCACACUGGGACUGAGACACGGCCCAGACUCCUACGGGAGGCAGCAGUGGGGAAUUUUGGACAAUGGGCGCAAGCCUGAUCCAGCCAUGCCGCGUGAGUGAAGAAGGCCUUCGGGUUGUAAAGCUCUUUCGGCCGGGACGAAAUCGCACCCUUUAAUACGGGGUGUGGAUGACGGUACCGGAAGAAGAAGGACCGGCUAACUACGUGCCAGCAGCCGCAGUAA
This 501-nucleotide ribosomal RNA is filed under the name uncultured bacterium. RNAcentral describes it as "partial 16S ribosomal RNA". It matches the Rfam family "Bacterial small subunit ribosomal RNA", at positions 28 to 523 of the family's 1533-position model. The record is from RNAcentral.